Molecule: ribosomal RNA, 487 nt
Filed under: uncultured bacterium
Lineage: Bacteria
Description: bacterial SSU rRNA
Rfam family: Bacterial small subunit ribosomal RNA
Source: RNAcentral
GACGAACGCUGGCGGCGCGCUUAACACAUGCAAGUCGAGCGAGAACCUGGGCUUCGGCCCUGGGGACAGCGGCGAACGGGUGAGUAACACGUGGGUAAUCUGCCCUCGGCAUCGGGAUAGCCCGGGGAAACCCGGAUUAAUACCGGAUAGCCUCCGGAGCCUUCGGGCGCCGGAGAAAAGGUAGCUUCGGCCUCUGGCCGAGGAUGAGCCCGCGGCGGAUUAGCUUGUUGGCGGGGUAACGGCCCACCAAGGCGACGAUCCGUAGCUGGUCUGAGAGGACGAUCAGCCACACUGGGACUGAGACACGGCCCAGACUCCUACGGGAGGCAGCAGUGGGGAAUCUUAGACAAUGGGGGCAACCCUGAUCUAGCCAUGCCGCGUGAGUGAUGAAGGCCUUAGGGUUGUAAAGCUCUUUCAGCUGGGAAGAUAAUGACGGUACCAGCAGAAGAAGCCCCGGCUAACUCCGUGCCAGCCGCCGCCGUAAAAC